CAACUUUCAGCAACGGAUCUCUUGGCUCUCGCAUCGAUGAAGAACGCAGCGGAAUGCGAUAAGUAAUGUGAAUUGCAGAAUUCAGUGAAUCAUCGAAUCUUUGAACGCACCUUGCGCUCCUUGGUAUUCUGAGGAGCAUGCCUGUUUGAGUGUUAUU
Molecule: ribosomal RNA, 157 nt
Filed under: uncultured Strophariaceae
Lineage: Eukaryota; Fungi; Basidiomycota; Agaricomycetes; Agaricales; Strophariaceae
Description: 5.8S ribosomal RNA
Rfam family: 5.8S ribosomal RNA
About the family: 5.8S ribosomal RNA (5.8S rRNA) is a component of the large subunit of the eukaryotic ribosome. It is transcribed by RNA polymerase I as part of the 45S precursor that also contains 18S and 28S rRNA. Functionally, it is thought that 5.8S rRNA may be involved in ribosome translocation.
Source: RNAcentral